CCUGAGGAAGGUUCGUCCGCUCAGGGUUAGUCGGGACCUAAGCCGAGGCCGAAAGGCGUAGGUGAUGGACAAUCGGUUGAUAUUCCGAUACCACCUAUUUACGUUUGAGAAAUGGGGUGACGCAGUAGGAUAAGAUGUGCGCACUAUUGGAUGUGCGUCUAAGCACUUAGGCAUGCUUGAUAGGCAAAUCCGUCGAGCUAAGCUGAGGUGUGAUGGGGAG
Molecule: ribosomal RNA, 220 nt
Filed under: Clostridium botulinum
Lineage: Bacteria; Bacillati; Bacillota; Clostridia; Eubacteriales; Clostridiaceae
Description: partial 23S ribosomal RNA
Rfam family: Bacterial large subunit ribosomal RNA
Source: RNAcentral